This 1446-nucleotide ribosomal RNA is filed under the name uncultured organism. RNAcentral's name for it is "16S ribosomal RNA". It matches the Rfam family "Bacterial small subunit ribosomal RNA". The record is from RNAcentral.
AACGCUAGCUACAGGCUUAACACAUGCAAGUCGAGGGGCAGCAUUUUAGUUUGCUUGCAAACUGAAGAUGGCGACCGGCGCACGGGUGAGUAACACGUAUCCAACCUGCCGAUAACUCCGGAAUAGCCUUUCGAAAGAAAGAUUAAUACCGGAUAGCAUACGAAUAUCGCAUGAUAUUUUUAUUAAAGAAUUUCGGUUAUCGAUGGGGAUGCGUUCCAUUAGUUUGUUGGCGGGGUAACGGCCCACCAAGACUACGAUGGAUAGGGGUUCUGAGAGGAAGGUCCCCCACAUUGGAACUGAGACACGGUCCAAACUCCUACGGGAGGCAGCAGUGAGGAAUAUUGGUCAAUGGGCGAGAGCCUGAACCAGCCAAGUAGCGUGAAGGAUGAAGGCUCUAUGGGUCGUAAACUUCUUUUAUAUGGGAAUAAAGUUUUCCACGUGUGGAAUUUUGUAUGUACCAUAUGAAUAAGGAUCGGCUAACUCCGUGCCAGCAGCCGCGGUAAUACGGAGGAUCCGAGCGUUAUCCGGAUUUAUUGGGUUUAAAGGGAGCGUAGGUGGAUUGUUAAGUCAGUUGUGAAAGUUUGCGGCUCAACCGUAAAAUUGCAGUUGAAACUGGCAGUCUUGAGUACAGUAGAGGUGGGCGGAAUUCGUGGUGUAGCGGUGAAAUGCUUAGAUAUCACGAAGAACUCCGAUCGCGAAGGCAGCUCACUAGACUGUCACUGACACUGAUGCUCGAAAGUGUGGGUAUCAAACAGGAUUAGAUACCCUGGUAGUCCACACAGUAAACGAUGAAUACUCGCUGUUUGCGAUAUACAGUAAGCGGCCAAGCGAAAGCAUUAAGUAUCCCACCUGGGGAGUACGCCGGCAACGGUGAAACUCAAAGGAAUUGACGGGGGCCCGCACAAGCGGAGGAACAUGUGGUUUAAUUCGAUGAUACGCGAGGAACCUUACCCGGGCUUAAAUUGCAACAGAAUAUAUUGGAAACAGUAUAGCCGUAAGGCUGUUGUGAAGGUGCUGCAUGGUUGUCGUCAGCUCGUGCCGUGAGGUGUCGGCUUAAGUGCCAUAACGAGCGCAACCCUUAUCUUUAGUUACUAACAGGUUAUGCUGAGGACUCUAGAGAGACUGCCGUCGUAAGAUGUGAGGAAGGUGGGGAUGACGUCAAAUCAGCACGGCCCUUACGUCCGGGGCUACACACGUGUUACAAUGGGGGGUACAGAAGGCGGCUACCUGGUGACAGGAUGCUAAUCCCAAAAACCUCUCUCAGUUCGGAUCGAAGUCUGCAACCCGACUUCGUGAAGCUGGAUUCGCUAGUAAUCGCGCAUCAGCCAUGGCGCGGUGAAUACGUUCCCAGGCCUUGUACACACCGCCCGUCAAGCCAUGAAAGCCGGGGGUACCUGAAGUGCGUAACCGCGAGGAUCGCCCUAGGGUAAAACUGGUGACUGGGGC